CAGUCGCCGCGGUAAUACGAAGGGUGCAAGCGUUACUCGGAAUUACUGGGCGUAAAGCGUGCGUAGGUGGUGGUUUAAGUCCGUUGUGAAAGCCCUGGGCUCAACCUGGGAAUUGCAGUGGAUACUGGGUCACUAGAGUGUGGUAGAGGAUAGUGGAAUUUCCGGUGUAGCAGUGAAAUGCGUAGAGAUCGGAAGGAACAUCUGUGGCGAAGGCGACUAUCUGGGCCAACACUGACACUGAGGCACGAAAGCGUGGGGAGCAAACAGGAUUAGAUACCCGAGUAGUUCCUGUCUCUUAUAC
Molecule: ribosomal RNA, 301 nt
Filed under: uncultured bacterium
Lineage: Bacteria
Description: partial 16S ribosomal RNA
Rfam family: Bacterial small subunit ribosomal RNA
Source: RNAcentral